AAGAAAUUAUACGCAACAUAAGAAUCGUAUUUGGAUAUAUGUACAUAAAUGUAAUACGUAAUUAAUUUUGCACGCUGUAAAGCAUGUACAUACAUAUAACAGACGAAGAAAAGCAAAUAUGAGAGAACGCCUAGUACUUCUAAACUAAUCUGUGGCGGCGGCAGUCAGUGCCGGUAGUCAAAUAUCAUAAAAUGUGGAAUUUGCUUCUCACUUGGAAUGACAGUGAAGCUGUAAAGCUGUAAAGUUUGAGGUCGGGGAGUACUGUGGGCUAGCCGGACUGUUGGCGCUCAUAGGUGACAUUGGAGACUCGCUGGAGCAAUAAACGGGACUCGAAGGCGAGGAUGAGUAAAAACUAGGGCUAUGCGGAGAGUAAACCACAUUUGAGUGAGAAGCGGUGGAAUAAUUGGGGCUGGCUGGACUACUAGAGUAUUGCGGACUACUGGGUUUUAUCAAAGGAGAAGGCCAGAACCAAUUCAGCGGUGGAAGAACUUAUUAUGUUUAACGUCUUUGGAGAUCGCACGAAACUCGAAAAUAAUCAGAUUUUUUGUAAUCUUACUGUGUAUUUUUAAAAUAUGUAUAAACUAAUUGUAAAACAUAUACGAGUAUUAUACUUUUUUCCUUAUUCCUAAUAAAACUACAAAUAUUGGCUUCCGAUGAAGUGUG
Molecule: long non-coding RNA, 663 nt
Organism: Bactrocera dorsalis (oriental fruit fly)
Lineage: Eukaryota; Metazoa; Arthropoda; Insecta; Diptera; Tephritidae
Exons: 3
Source: RefSeq, a predicted model, not a curated record